UACGGAGGGGGCAAGCGUUGUUCGGAAUUAUUGGGCGUAAAGGGCGCGUAGGCGGCCGGCCAAGUCGGGUGUGAAAUCCCUCGGCUCAACCGAGGAACUGCACUCGAUACUGGUUGGCUAGAGUCCGGGAGGGGAUGGUGGAAUUCCCAGUGUAGCGGUGAAAUGCGUAGAUAUUGGGAAGAACACCGGUGGCGAAGGCGGCCAUCUGGACCGGCACUGACGCUGAGGCGCGAAAGCCAGGGGAGCGAAU
This 250-nucleotide ribosomal RNA is filed under the name uncultured bacterium. RNAcentral describes it as "partial 16S ribosomal RNA". It matches the Rfam family "Bacterial small subunit ribosomal RNA", at positions 524 to 773 of the family's 1533-position model. The record is from RNAcentral.